CACCAAUCUUCAAAGCCCGAAAGUUGAAAUUCACAGCAAAUUCUUGUUCAUUGCAAAAAAUAGCUAAAUCAAUAAGAAAAAGUAAUACUAAUACACAAAUAUCAGUAAAUACCCUAAUUCUAAACUUGAACUAUUUUCUUCAACCCCAAAGCUGACUUCUGAAACCCUUGCCUUUGUUAAUCCGAUUUUCUAUAGAUGGGAAAUCAAUGGCCAGCGGGAAGGGUGAGUUUUAGGGAUUUCAAAUUGGGGAAAAAGAUAGUUUUUUCCGGAUGUCGAAUUGGGGAAGAAGACACGAUAAAACUUUAUGGAUUUGGGACUAAGGAAAAGAGGGGAAAUGAAGGGGAGAACGGGGAAAAUGUUAGGUGUUAUUGUCUGGGUAAAAAAUAAGGCAGCAAAACGACAAUGGUUUGACCAAAACAAUUUGACAUUUGCUGCGUUUCCACCGUAUGGCCGCUAAAAGGGUAAGCUAUUACGGCGUUUUACCAAAACGCCACUAAUAAACCAAUAAAACGAAGACGUUUUAAUAUAAACAAAAUCAACUUUAGCGGCGUUUAUAAACUAGCACCACUAAAUCUGAACCUACUGCGGCGCUUUGCCACAAACGCCACUAACAAAUCCUAUAAAACGGCGCCGUUUAGUUUUAAAACAUGAUGAUCUUUUGCGGCGUUUUUGGAAAAACGCCGCUAUUGCAUACCUUUUGCGGCGUUUAUGGAAAACGCCGCUAAUGCCUUUAAAAUUUUAAAUUAUUUAAUAUAUAAAUAAAAAAUAAUAUAAAUUAAAAAAAUAAGUUAUAUAGCCAAAAAACUUUAAUUUUAUUUUAAAUAAUAGUAUUUUAAUUUUUUUCAUUUAAAUAAAUAAUUUUUUAAAAUUUAACUAAUAUUUAAAAGAGCUGCAUAAAAUUUGAAAUCUUGAAAAUUAUUGAAAAUUUGAAAUCAUUAAAAUUUGAAAUUAUGUAAUAUAUAAAUUAAAAAAAUCAGUCAUAUACCCAAAAAAACUUUAAAAUUAAUUAUUUUAAAUAAUAGUAUUUCAAAUUUUAAUUAAAUUUUUUAACACUAUUAUCCUAAACCCUUAACCCAUGUCCCCUUAACCCCUAAACCCCUCAACCCUAAACCAUUAACCCUUAAUCUUUAAAAUUUGAACACUAAACCCUAAACCAUGUCCCCUUAACCCCUAAACCCCUCAACCUUAAACCAUAAACCCUUAAUCCCUAAACUUUAAACACUAAACCCUAAACUAUAUCCCUUUAACCCCUUAACUCUUAACAAUUAACCACUAGACCCUCAACCUUUAAAUCUUAACCCCUAAACCAUAAACCCCAAAUCCCUAAACCUUUAGCCCUUGAACCAUAAACCAUAAACCAUAAACCAUAAACCAUAAUCCCUAAAUCCACAAUCAAUUAUCCAUAAACCUUAAAAUAAUAUUAACCCAUAAACCAUAAACCCCUAAACCCAUAAUCCCUAGACCCAUGCAUAAUCCAUAAACCUUAAAAUAUUAACUCGUCAUAAUCCAUAAAUCAUAAACCCUAAACCAUAUAUACCCUAAACCAUGCAUAAACCUUAAACUAUAAUAAUGAUAAUUAAUUAAAUAUUUUAAAAUUAAUAUCAUCUCUUUUAUGAUUAUAUAAGAAUUUAUUUAAUAUAUAAAUUGACAAACAAUCAGUCAUAUACCCAAAAAGCUUUAAAACUAUUUUAAAUAAUAUAUACUAUAUAACAUUUUUUAUUUUUAACAUAUAUUUUUAUAUGUUUUUAUUUUUAAUUUUUUCUACAUGUCAUUAAUUUAGGGUUUAUAGUUUAAGGUUUCAAAUUUAAGGUCUAUAGUUUAUGGGUUUAGGGGCUAAGCAUUAGGAGUUAGGGUUAACGGGUUAGGAUUUAUGGUUAGGGUAGUGUUUAGAGUUUUAAGGGUUUAUGGUCUGAGACUUAGGGUUUACAAGUUUGGUAAUUUAAGGGUUUAGUGGGUUAGGGUUUAGAGAAUGGUGUAGUUAAUUUAUAUUGUUCAUAAAGUCAGUUUCAGAUAUGAUCAAAAUAAAAUCAAAAUAAAAAUAAGACCUUAUUUUAUUUGUUAUAAUUUGGUCCUAUCCAAAAUAGAUAGUUACCUAUCCAUAUCAAUUUGCUACUUUUUUUAUUUUUCAAUAAAUAAUUUGUUAUAUUUUUAAUAUAUUAAAUUUAAUAUUAUCUCUUUUACAACUAUAUAAUAGAUUAUUUAAUAUAUAAAUUAAAAAUACUAAUUAAUCUAAACCUUAAACUCUUAACUACAAUCUUUAAAACCCUAAAUCAUAAAACCUAAACCAUCAACUCUAAACCAACCCUUAAACCCAUAAUCUAUAAACCUUAAAAUAGUUUAGAUCUAUAGCGGCGUUUUUCCAAAAAGCGCCACUAAAACUCAAAUCUAUUGCGGCGUUUUUUGAAAAGCGCCACUAAAACUCAAAUCCAUAGCGAUGUUUUUUAAAAAGCGCCGCUAAUACUCAAUCUAUAGCGGCGUUUUUGAGGAAGCGCCGCUAUUGCCACUAAAGCUCAAAAUAAAUGACGCGGUUCGGCUAUAGGUCGACCGAUAGCGGAGCUUUCUGAAAAACACCACUAAUAGCGGCAUUUUUGAUAAAGCGCCGCUAUUGCCACUAAAGCUCACAAUAAACAACGCCGUUCGGCUUAAUCUUUUAGUGGCAUUUUUAUAAAAAGCUUUCUUAAAAACGCCGCUAAUUCUCGAUCUAUAGCUGCGGUUUUUUUUAAAAACGCCGCUAAUACUCGAUUUAUUCAAUUUUUAGUGGCGUUUUCUUUUCAAACGCUGCUAAAAGUCUGUUUUCUUGUAGUGUUAUGCUCAAAAUUAUACUCACGAAAAGCCCGAAGAAAUUUAUUACUCGCACAACCUUGAUAAUUCCAAGAAAAUUCGAAUCCAUAAAAAUAGAUAGGAAUAUAUUAAUAAAAAUAAAUAACACCAAAAACCUUACUAACAGAACCAUAAAAAAUCGUUCUUAAAUUCUUUUACCUGGGUCUGGAGCAACAGCUUCUGGUUCAGCACUUCGUACCAUGGAGACUGUUUGAGCCAACUUAGAUAUAGAAUCACUCAAAGGAAUUUUAGAAUUAUUUUUAGUUCUAAAAUUAACCCCUUUCCCUUUUGAGUGAUUUUAUUAAUUUUUUUAGUAGGUCGGAAACCCAAUCUUU
This 3155-nucleotide long non-coding RNA is filed under the name Gossypium barbadense (sea-island cotton). RNAcentral describes it as "long non-coding RNA (GBAR_LNC011470)". The record is from RNAcentral. Lineage: Eukaryota; Viridiplantae; Streptophyta; Magnoliopsida; Malvales; Malvaceae.